Molecule: non-coding RNA, 22 nt
Filed under: Arabidopsis thaliana (thale cress)
Lineage: Eukaryota; Viridiplantae; Streptophyta; Magnoliopsida; Brassicales; Brassicaceae
Source: RNAcentral
CAAGUGAAUGAUGUUGGCCUAG